UCAAGCGAAUAAGCGCACACGGUGGAUGCCUAGGCGGUCAGAGGCGAUGAAGGACGUGGUAGCCUGCGAAAAGUGUCGGGGAGCUGGCAACAAGCUUUGAUCCGGCAAUAUCCGAAUGGGGAAACCCACUGCUUCGGCAGUAUCCUGCAGUGAAUUCAUAGCUGCUGGAAGCGAACCCGGUGAACUGAAAUAUCUAAGUAACCGGAGGAAAAGAAAUCAACCGAGAUUCCCUAAGUAGUGACGAGCGAACGGGGAGCAGCCCUUAAGCUGGAAUGGCUUUAGAAAAACAAUCUGGAAAGAUUGGCCAUAGAAGGUGAUAGCCCUGUAUUUAAAAGGGCCACUCCAGUGAAGACGAGUAGGGCGGGGCACGUGAAACCCUGUCUGAAUAUGGGGGGACCAUCCUCCAAGGCUAAAUACUCCUGACCGACCGAUAGUGAACCAGUACCGUGAGGGAAAGGCGAAAAGAACCCCGGAGAGGGGAGUGAAAUAGAUCCUGAAACCGUGUGCGUACAAGCAGUAGGAGCUCGCAAGAGUGACUGCGUACCUUUUGUAUAAUGGGUCAGCGACUUACUGUUCGUGGCAAGCUUAACCGUAUAGGGGAGGCGAAGGGAAACCGAGUCUGAUAAGGGCGCAUAGUCGCGGGCAGUAGACCCGAAACCGGGUGAUCUAGUCAUGGCCAGGGUGAAGGUGCCGUAACAGGUACUGGAGGCCCGAACCCACGUCUGUUGCAAAAGACGGGGAUGAGCUGUGAUUAGGAGUGAAAAGCUAAUCGAACCCGGAGAUAGCUGGUUCUCCUCGAAAGCUAUUUAGGUAGCGCCUCGGACGAAUACUACUGGGGGUAGAGCACUGUUAUGGCUAGGGGGUCAUCGCGACUUACCAAACCAUUGCAAACUCCGAAUACCAGUACGUACUAUCCGGGAGACACACGGCGGGUGCUAACGUCCGUCGUGAAAAGGGAAACAACCCAGACCCACAGCUAAGGUCCCAAAUUCACUGCUAAGUGGAAAACGAUGUGGAAAGGCAUAGACAGCCAGGAGGUUGGCUUAGAAGCAGCCACCCUUUAAAGAAAGCGUAAUAGCUCACUGGUCGAGUCGGUCUGCGCGGAAGAUUUAACGGGGCUAAGCAGUGAACCGAAGCUUGGGGUGCAUAAAACUUGUUUUAUGCGCGGUAGAGGAGCGUUCCGUAAGCCUGCGAAGGUGGAUUGAGAAGUCUGCUGGAGGUAUCGGAAGUGCGAAUGCUGACAUGAGUAACGAUAAUGCGGGUGAAAAGCCCGCACGCCGAAAGCCCAAGGUUUCCUUGCGCAACGUUAAUCGACGCAGGGUUAGUCGGUCCCUAAGGCGAGGGCGAAAGCCGUAGUCGAUGGGAAGCAGGUUAAUAUUCCUGCACCUCGCGUGAGUGCGAUGGAGGGACGGAGAAGGUUAGGUGUACCGGGCGUUGGUUGUCCCGGGGAAAGGCGGUAGGUUUGGAUCUUUGGCAAAUCCGGGAUCCUUUAAGACCGAGUCACCGAGACGAGCCUUUAUACCACGCUUCCAGGAAAAGCUCCUAAGCUUCAGCUCACGAAGACCGUACCGUAAACCGACACAGGUGGGUAGGAUGAGAAUUCUCAGGCGCUUGAGAGAACUCGGGUGAAGGAACUAGGCAACAUGGCACCGUAACUUCGGGAGAAGGUGCACCCUUUUUGGUGGCUCAUGCGAGCUAUAGCUGAAGAGGGUCGCAGAAACCAGGCCGCUGCGACUGUUUAUCAAAAACACAGCACUCUGCAAACACGAAAGUGGACGUAUAGGGUGUGACGCCUGCCCGGUGCUGGAAGGUUAAUUGAUGGGGUCAGCCGCAAGGCGAAGCUCUUGAUCGAAGCCCCAGUAAACGGCGGCCGUAACUAUAACGGUCCUAAGGUAGCGAAAUUCCUUGUCGGGUAAGUUCCGACCUGCACGAAUGGCGUAACGACAGCGGCGCUGUCUCCACCCGAGACUCAGUGAAAUUGAAAUCGCUGUGAAGAUGCAGCGUUCCCGUGGCAAGACGGAAAGACCCCGUGAACCUUUACUAUAGCUUUACACUGAACGUUGAGUUCGUCUGUGUAGGAUAGGUGGGAGGCUAUGAAACUGUGGCGCUAGCUGCAGUGGAGCCAUCCUUGAAAUACCACCCUGUCGUGCUUGACGUUCUAACCUAGAUCCGUUAUCCGGAUCAGGGACCGUGUAUGGUGGGUAGUUUGACUGGGGCGGUCUCCUCCUAAAGAGUAACGGAGGAGCACGAAGGUACGCUCAGCGCGGUCGGACAUCGCGCACUGUGUGCAAAGGCAUAAGCGUGCUUGACUGCAAGAUCGACGGAUCAAGCAGGUACGAAAGUAGGUCUUAGUGAUCCGGUGGUUCUGUAUGGAAGGGCCAUCGCUCAACGGAUAAAAGGUACUCCGGGGAUAACAGGCUGAUACCGCCCAAGAGUUCAUAUCGACGGCGGUGUUUGGCACCUCGAUGUCGGCUCAUCACAUCCUGGGGCUGUAGUCGGUCCCAAGGGUAUGGCUGUUCGCCAUUUAAAGUGGUACGCGAGCUGGGUUCAGAACGUCGUGAGACAGUUCGGUCCCUAUCUGCCAUGGGCGUUGGAAGUUUGAGAGGGGCUGCUCCUAGUACGAGAGGACCGGAGUGGACGAACCUCUGGUGUUCCGGUUGUCACGCCAGUGGCAUUGCCGGGUAGCUAUGUUCGGAAGCGAUAACCGCUGAAAGCAUCUAAGCGGGAAGCGCGCCUCAAGAUGAGACUUCCCGGGGCACAAGCCCCCUAAAGGAACCAUAUAGACUAUGUGGUUGAUAGGUCAGGUGUGUAAGUACAGCAAUGUAUUGAGCUAACUGAUACUAAUGAUCCGUGCGGCUUGACCAU
Molecule: ribosomal RNA, 2865 nt
Filed under: Xanthomonas arboricola pv. pruni str. MAFF 311562
Lineage: Bacteria; Pseudomonadati; Pseudomonadota; Gammaproteobacteria; Lysobacterales; Lysobacteraceae
Description: bacterial LSU rRNA
Rfam family: Bacterial large subunit ribosomal RNA
Source: RNAcentral